GGGAGUGACGUCAAGUCCUCAUGGCCUUACUGACCAGGGCUACACACGUGCUACAAUAGGCCGGUACAAAGAGUUGCGAUACCGCGAGGUGGAGCUAAUCUCAUAAAGCCGGUCUCAGUUCGGAUUGGAGUCUGCAACUCGACUCCAUGAAGUUGGAAUCGCUAGUAAUCGCGGAUCAGCACGCCGCGGUGAAUACGUUCCCGGGCCUU
This 209-nucleotide ribosomal RNA is filed under the name uncultured Geobacter sp. RNAcentral's name for it is "partial 16S ribosomal RNA". It matches the Rfam family "Bacterial small subunit ribosomal RNA", at positions 1175 to 1382 of the family's 1533-position model. The record is from RNAcentral. Lineage: Bacteria; Pseudomonadati; Thermodesulfobacteriota; Desulfuromonadia; Geobacterales; Geobacteraceae.